RNAcentral lists this ribosomal RNA (1105 nucleotides) under Dothideomycetes sp. genotype 373. RNAcentral describes it as "eukaryotic LSU rRNA". The stretch from base 511 to 1105 matches the Rfam family "Eukaryotic large subunit ribosomal RNA", at positions 1 to 599 of the family's 3401-position model. Lineage: Eukaryota; Fungi; Ascomycota; Dothideomycetes. The record is from RNAcentral.
GGAUCAUUACACAAAAAAUAUGAAGGCUGCAACCGCCAGUUUUGGCGGGGAAGCUGAAUUAUUUUUCACCCAUGUCUUUUGCGCACUUGUUGUUUCCUGGGCGGGUUCGCCCGCCACCAGGACCACACCAUAAACCUUUUUUAUGCAGUUGCAAUCAGCGUCAGUAUAACAAAUGUAAAUCAUUUACAACUUUCAACAACGGAUCUCUUGGUUCUGGCAUCGAUGAAGAACGCAGCGAAAUGCGAUACGUAGUGUGAAUUGCAGAAUUCAGUGAAUCAUCGAAUCUUUGAACGCACAUUGCGCCCUUUGGUAUUCCAAAGGGCAUGCCUGUUCGAGCGUCAUUUGUACCCUCAAGCUUUGCUUGGUGUUGGGCGUUUGUCUUUGGCUUUUGCCCAAAGACUCGCCUUAAAACGAUUGGCAGCCGGCCUACUGGUUUCGGAGCGCAGCACAUUUUUGCGCUUGCAACUAGCUAAAGAGGCCAGCAAUCCAUCAAGACCUUCUUCUCACUUUUGACCUCGGAUCAGGUAGGGAUACCCGCUGAACUUAAGCAUAUCAAUAAGCGGAGGAAAAGAAACCAACAGGGAUUGCCCUAGUAACGGCGAGUGAAGCGGCAACAGCUCAAAUUUGAAAUCUGGCUCUUUCAGAGUCCGAGUUGUAAUUUGCAGAGGGCGCUUUGGCUUUGGCAGCGGUCCAAGUUCCUUGGAACAGGACGUCACAGAGGGUGAGAAUCCCGUACGUGGUCGCUAGCUAUUGCCGUGUAAAGCCCCUUCGACGAGUCGAGUUGUUUGGGAAUGCAGCUCUAAAUGGGAGGUAAAUUUCUUCUAAAGCUAAAUAUUGGCCAGAGACCGAUAGCGCACAAGUAGAGUGAUCGAAAGAUGAAAAGCACUUUGGAAAGAGAGUCAAACAGCACGUGAAAUUGUUGAAAGGGAAGCGCUUGCAGCCAGACUUGCUUGCAGUUGCUCAUCCGGGCUUUUGCCCGGUGCACUCUUCUGCAGGCAGGCCAGCAUCAGUUUGGGCGGUGGGAUAAAGGUCUCUGUCACGUACCUCUCUUCGGGGAGGACUUAUAGGGGAGGCGACAUACCACCAGCCUGGACUGAGGUCCGCG